CACAGAGUUAGCCGGUGCUUGCUAAGGAGAUACCGUCACCAUGCACGAUAUUAGCCUGCACUUAUUCGUCUCUCCCCACAGAGCUUUACAACCCGAAGGCCUUCAUCACUCACGCGGCGUCGCUGCGUCAGGCUUUCGCCCAUUGCGCAAGAUUCCCCA
Molecule: ribosomal RNA, 159 nt
Filed under: uncultured bacterium
Lineage: Bacteria
Description: partial 16S ribosomal RNA
Source: RNAcentral